This 62-nucleotide transfer RNA is filed under the name Torleya mikhaili. RNAcentral's name for it is "tRNA-Thr". It matches the Rfam family "tRNA". Rfam says of the family: Transfer RNA (tRNA) molecules are approximately 80 nucleotides in length. The record is from RNAcentral. Lineage: Eukaryota; Metazoa; Arthropoda; Insecta; Ephemeroptera; Ephemerellidae.
GUUUUAGUAGUUUAUAAAAACAUUGGUCUUGUAAGCCAAAAUUAGGGUUUCCCUCUAAAACU